Molecule: small RNA, 1486 nt
Filed under: Arabidopsis thaliana (thale cress)
Lineage: Eukaryota; Viridiplantae; Streptophyta; Magnoliopsida; Brassicales; Brassicaceae
Description: ATSL143160
Source: RNAcentral
UCCAUUGAAGGGCAGUGGUAGACGCGGUCCGAAUCUCUCCCUUGUAAAAUCAAAACAGAACAAAAAACAAUAUUGUGAUUGUUUAUCUCUAGCACACCAAUAAGUAUUUUCCUUGGAAGACACGCCAUUUUGCAUAUACUCUAUAUCCCGUCCAAGAGUGUCUCUUGGAAUCAUCCAUGAAUUAGAGCUCAAAUCGUAGAUUUGGAGUUUAUUAUCGAAAUCGUAAAUCCUCAAGAUUUUGUAGCUACCGCAUAAUUUGUCAAAUCCGAGAGAAAAUAUGUCUAAUCUCCCGUAAUUAUCUUUGGGAUUGAUCCAUUUUGGUUUUACCCCAUACGGGUUACAAACCACAAGCCUAGUGUCAUCAAUAGUUUUUCCUGAUACGGAUAACAAUAAACCAUUGCAGUGAAAGACUUGAGACACAUAGAAUCCCUGAGCUGUUUCGUCUCUGCUAAUAAGUCUACCUCUACACUUUAUAGAUAGAUCAAUGUUGUUGUGGAGAUUGACGCCAAUCAAAUAUACCCUACGAUUCAUUAUCAUUAGAAACUCUUUUCCCCGUUUUUUUGCAAACCUCUGAUCUUUGGUUAAAACGUACCACUUUUUGCAAGUAGAUCGCAUUGCUUUCAAAGAUGUCACGGGAGCCCUACAAAGAAUCUCCUCCACUAACUCAUCUGGAAGGUUGGACUGUUGGGUACAAAGCAAAGGUCCCACAUCGAAAGUUUAGAAAAAGAGUUUCUAUUAUAUAAGCCAAGUCCAACUACAACUAGUAUGAGGCAUUUUGGAAAGAAACCCAAUAACAAAUCCUUGCGGGCUUGAGGAUAUAAGCCUAAAGAGGACAAUAUCAUACUAAAUGGAAGUUGGAAUGGGUUUAGAAAGCCCAUUAAAUGGUAUCAGAGCCUAGGUUGAAAAAGUGGACUUAGGGCUUGGGCUAUGAUCGGUGUGGGAAAAUCUCUCAAACAUGACACGAUAAGAAUGUGCCUCAAGAAGGAGGCCCAAGUUCGUGGUCUUUGGUUUGAAGGGGAGAUUGUUGGGUACAAUCGAUCUUGGCAUGAUCUUAGAUUGCCGCAAGCAUGUGCUUUGCUUGCUUGGCCAUAUGGCUGGCUCUGGAUGCAAUCUCUACAACUAGUAUGAGGCCUUUUGGGAAGAAACCCAAUAACAAAUCCUUGCGGGCUUGAGGAUAUAAGCCCAAAGAGGACAAUAUCAUACUAAAUGGGAGUUGGAAUGGGCUUAGAAAGCCCAUUAAAUGGUAUCAGAGCCUAGAUUGAAAAAGUGGACCUUGGGCUUGGACUAUGAUCGGUGUGGAAAAAUCUCUCAAACAUGACACGAUAAGAAUGUGCCUCAAGAAGGAGGCCCAAGUUCGUGGUCUUUGGUUUAAAGGGGAGAUUGUUGGGUACAAACCAAAGAUCCCACAUCGGAAGUUUAGAAAAAGAGUUUCUAACAUAUAAGCCAAGUCCAACUCCAACUAGUAUGAGGCCUUUUGGGAAAAAAA